RNAcentral lists this ribosomal RNA (422 nucleotides) under uncultured bacterium. RNAcentral's name for it is "bacterial SSU rRNA". It matches the Rfam family "Bacterial small subunit ribosomal RNA", at positions 406 to 817 of the family's 1533-position model. The record is from RNAcentral.
GGAUGAAGGCCUUCGGGUUGUAAACUAGCUUUUGUACGGAACGAAAAGGACUCUGGCUAAUACCUGGGGCACAUGACGGUACCGUAAGAAUAAAGCACCGGCUAACUACGUGCCAGCAGCCGCGGUAAUACGUAGGGUGCGAGCGUUAAUCGGAAUUACUGGGCGUAAAGCGUGCGCAGGCGGUUUUGUAAGACAGAGGUGAAAUCCCCGGGCUCAACCUGGGAACUGCCUUUGUGACUGCAAAGCUGGAGUGCGGCAGAGGGGGAUGGAAUUCCGCGUGUAGCAGUGAAAUGCGUAGAUAUGCGGAGGAACACCGAUGGCGAAGGCAAUCCCCUGGGCCUGCACUGACGCUCAUGCACGAAAGCGUGGGGAGCAAACAGGAUUAGGAUACCCUGGUAGUCCACGCCUAAACGAUGUCAACU